Molecule: ribosomal RNA, 913 nt
Filed under: Cortinarius purpureocapitatus
Lineage: Eukaryota; Fungi; Basidiomycota; Agaricomycetes; Agaricales; Cortinariaceae
Description: partial large subunit ribosomal RNA
Rfam family: Eukaryotic large subunit ribosomal RNA
Source: RNAcentral
CAUAUCAAUAAGCGGAGGAAAAGAAACUAACAAGGAUUCCCCUAGUAACUGCGAGUGAAGCGGGAAAAGCUCAAAUUUAAAAUCUGUCAGUCUUUGGCUGUCCGAGUUGUAAUCUAGAGAAGUGUUAUCCGCGCUGGACCGUGUACAAGUCUCCUGGAAUGGAGCGUCAUAGAGGGUGAGAAUCCCGUCUUUGACACGGACUGCCAGGGCUUUGUGAUGCGCUCUCAAAGAGUCGAGUUGUUUGGGAAUGCAGCUCAAAAUGGGUGGUAAAUUCCAUCUAAAGCUAAAUAUUGGCGAGAGACCGAUAGCGAACAAGUACCGUGAGGGAAAGAUGAAAAGAACUUUGGAAAGAGAGUUAAACAGUACGUGAAAUUGCUGAAAGGGAAACGCUUGAAGUCAGUCGCGUUGUUCAGGGAUCAACCUUGCUUUUGCUUGGUGUAUUCUCUGGUUGACGGGUCAGCAUCAAUUUUGACUAUUGGAAAAAGAUUAAGGGAAUGUGGCAUCCUUGGAUGUGUUAUAGCCCUUGGUUGCAUACAAUGGUUGGGAUUGAGGAACUCAGCACGCCGAAAGGCCGGGUUUUAACCACGUACGUGCUUAGGAUGCUGGCAUAAUGGCUUUAAUCGACCCGUCUUGAAACACGGACCAAGGAGUCUAACAUGCCUGCGAGUGUUUGGGUGGAAAACCCGAGCGCGUAAUGAAAGUGAAAGUUGAGAUCCUUGUCAUGGGGAGCAUCGACGCCCGGACCAGACCUUUUGUGACGGUUCCGCGGUAGAGCAUGUAUGUUGGGACCCGAAAGAUGGUGAACUAUGCCUGAAUAGGGUGAAGCCAGAGGAAACUCUGGUGGAGGCUCGUAGCGAUUCUGACGUGCAAAUCGAUCGUCAAAUUUGGGUAUAGGGGCGAAAGACUAAUUCGA